RNAcentral lists this ribosomal RNA (253 nucleotides) under uncultured bacterium. RNAcentral's name for it is "partial 16S ribosomal RNA". It matches the Rfam family "Bacterial small subunit ribosomal RNA", at positions 524 to 776 of the family's 1533-position model. The record is from RNAcentral.
UACGUAGGCAGCGAGCGUUGUUCGGAAUUAUUGGGCGUAAAGAGUGUGUAGGCGGUGCUCUAAGUUCGGUGUGAAAUCUCCUGGCUCAACUGGGAGGGUGCGCCGGAAACUGGAGUGCUUGAGCGUGGGAGAGGAAAGCGGAAUUCCUGGUGUAGCGGUGAAAUGCGUAGAUAUCAGGAGGAACACCUGUGGUGUAGACGGCUUUCUGGACCAUAGCUGACGCUGAGACACGAAAGCGUGGGUAGCAAACAGG